AUUUGACAAUCGUGUCACAUUUCGUUGAACGUUUGACAUUUCGAAACUCAGCCACGGAACUCCGACGCAUUAAAUGUUUGUUGUUUUUCAACGAAAAUUACCCAUUAUUAUUAUGUCUUGAAACAUUAUAACCGGUCAGCGGAUUAGUUUCAACUGAUUUUUAUAACAUUUCAACCACACGCGGCGUGCCAGUAGUACGUACCUACGUAAAACGAAAAUAUUCCAAAAUGGCCGACUGGAAACAUCAAGGAUUAUACAGUUUAUUAAUUUGUUACUAGUUGUUACUCGCGGCAUCGUCCGCGUGGUUAAGGAAAAAUACUCAUUGUAUUUUCCCGUGGGAAUGAGAUGAUUUUUCAGGAUAAGCGGUAGCCUAGUAGUUACUCUGUCAAGAAAAUACCGGGAAAACGUUAUUAAUACACAAAAUUCAAACGGAUUCUUAUAUUUAUACAAAUCUAAAACUUUAGAUUUCCGAGACUUCGAGGAAGGGAAAAAGGAAGAUAUGUUCCCGCCAAAAGUCUGUCAAAUGUCAAUCUCAAACCUCAGUGUUGACAGUCACAUUAUGUUUAGAUUUCUAAAUUGUAAAUGACUAAUAUUUUGCCAAUUGAAUUGACUAAUUUAAUUUCAUGGUAUUUGAUUAAUGUUCCAAAA
Molecule: long non-coding RNA, 648 nt
Organism: Bombyx mori (domestic silkworm)
Lineage: Eukaryota; Metazoa; Arthropoda; Insecta; Lepidoptera; Bombycidae
Exons: 3
Source: RefSeq, a predicted model, not a curated record